GCUCAGUAACACGUGGACAAUCUGCCCUUGGGUUUGGCAUAACCCCGGGAAACUGGGGAUAAUACCGAAUAAACCAUAGAAGCUGGAAUGCUCUUUGGUUAAAAGCUCCGGCGCCCAAGGAUGAGUCUGCGGCCUAUCAGGUUGUAGUGGGUGUAACGUACCUACUAGCCGACGACGGGUACGGGUUGUGAGAGCAAGAGCCCGGAGAUGGAUUCUGAGACAUGAAUCCAGGCCCUACGGGGCGCAGCAGGCGCGAAAACUUUACAAUGCGGGAAACCGCGAUAAGGGGACACCGAGUGCCAGCAUACUAUGUUGGCUGUCCACAUGUGUAAACAGCAUGUGUUAGCAAGGGCCGGGCAAGACCGGUGCCAGCCGCCGCGGUAACACCGGCGGCCCGAGUGGUAAUCACUAUUAUUGGGUCUAAAGGGUCCGUAGCCGGUUUGAUCAGUCAUCCGGGAAAUCUGAUAGCUCAACUAUUAGGCUUCCGGGUGAUACUGUCAGGCUUGGGACCGGGAGAGGUAAGAGGUACUACAGGGGUAGGAGUGAAAUCUUGUAAUCCCUGUGGGACCACCAGUGGCGAAGGCGUCUUACCAGAACGGGUCCGACGGUGAGGGACGAAAGCUGGGGGCACGAACCGGAUUAGAUACCCGGGUAGUCCCAGCCGUAAACGAUGCUCGCUAGGUGUCUGGGAUGGUGCGACCGUUUCAGGUGCCGCAGGGAAGCCGUGAAGCGAGCCACCUGGGAAGUACGGCCGCAAGGCUGAAACUUAAAGGAAUUGGCGGGGGAGCAC
This 790-nucleotide ribosomal RNA is filed under the name uncultured archaeon. Its description in RNAcentral is "bacterial SSU rRNA". It matches the Rfam family "Archaeal small subunit ribosomal RNA", at positions 88 to 879 of the family's 1478-position model. The record is from RNAcentral.